Molecule: long non-coding RNA, 905 nt
Filed under: Salvator merianae (Argentine black and white tegu)
Lineage: Eukaryota; Metazoa; Chordata; Lepidosauria; Squamata; Teiidae
Description: lncRNA (ENSSMRG00000011977.1)
Source: RNAcentral
CGUAUAUGUGUGUUUACCCUUUGUCAUUGCUUUAUANCAGGGCUGCCUCAGCUGAGGUCCUUUCAAAUGUUCAUAGAAUCAUAGAAUCAUAGAGUUGGAAGGGACCUCCAGGGUCAUCGAGUCNACCCCUCUGCUCAAUGCAGGAUUCACUAAACCAUCCCAGACAAAUAUCUCUCCAGCCUCUCCCUGAAGGCUUAAACUUCAAUUCCCAGCAUUCCAGGGGUUAGAAGUUAAGCAGUCCUGUUCUAUGGGCAUAAAUAUUACAUUCUUCCAGUGCGUAGGCUGUUUUGAAUUUUGCUCCAUUCCCCCUUGUCUUGACCAUUGGUUUACCUGUGAAGAAAACGUUUCUCCUAUGAAACUCUCUUGUCCCUGCCCAGGAGACCACGGUCCCCGUCUCCCCGUCGGGUCAUACCUGAGAUGCCCUGGAAGAGGCUCGUGAGCUUGCACCCCGCCUGCUAUGCCAGCCACCGGAGUUUGCAGGAUUACUGGAUCAGCCCCCAAAGGCGUUACCUGGCUGGCAGCACGUGGCACACUCCCACGAGAAAGACGUUGAUCCUCCCCGGGACCACCGGUAUUUCGGAUGUGGAGUCUACUCGCUGGCCAAGUUCAGGUCGAUACCGGCCCAAUCUCAUAUGGAAGAACCGUUGGCAGUACCUGAACUCCUAUUACCUGGGCAAGAGACCCCGCCACUUCCUGAAGGUGAACUUCUGAACUCUCUCCCCCAAGGGCCGUGCACUUAAAGCCUUUGCCUCAGAGGGCACUCCGGAGGAGACCGAUGUGCCCCCCGCCCAGAAUCGCUUGCCUGCAGCGCNGGGCAGUUCCCCGGAUUCUGUCUGCCAGAUCCCUUGACGCAGAACGGUACUUCCCGCUUGACUCCGCUUUUUGACCUGGGUCUUCCCUUCCCC